Molecule: ribosomal RNA, 464 nt
Filed under: uncultured Methylomonas sp.
Lineage: Bacteria; Pseudomonadati; Pseudomonadota; Gammaproteobacteria; Methylococcales; Methylococcaceae
Description: partial 16S ribosomal RNA
Source: RNAcentral
GACUACCGGGGUAUCUAAUCCUGUUUGCUACCCACGCUUUCGUACCUCAGCGUCAGUUUGAGUCCAGAGAGCCGCCUUCGCCACUGGUGUUCCUUCAGAUCUCUACGCAUUUCACCGCUACACCUGAAAUUCCACUCUCCUCUACUCAACUCUAGUUCCCCAGUAUCAAAUGCAGUUCCCAGGUUAAGCCCAGGGCUUUCACAUCUGACUUAAAAAACCGCCUACGCACGCUUUACGCCCAGUAAUUCCGAUUAACGCUUGCACCCUCCGUAUUACCGCGGCUGCUGGCACGGAGUUAGCCGGUGCUUCUUGUAUGGGUAAUGUCAGUCUACCGGGUAUUAACCGAUAGGUGUUCCUUCCCAUUGAAAGUGCUUUACAACCCUCAGGCCUUCUUCACACACGCGGUAUUGCUGGAUCAGGCUUGCGCCCAUUGUCCAAUAUUCCCCACUGCAGCCCCCCGUAGG